CCGAGUCUUGCACUCCCAAAACCCUCUGUGGAACAUAACAAAUCCGUUGCCUCGGCGGGAGAGCCCCGGCUGUGGGCCGAAAGCCUCGCACCGGUAGCUCAGGCGCCCGCCGGAGGACCCAAACUAAAACUCUAGUAAUUCUAGUACCUUCUGAGUAUAACGUAAAUAAAGUA
This 173-nucleotide unclassified non-coding RNA is filed under the name soil metagenome. RNAcentral's name for it is "partial internal transcribed spacer 1". The record is from RNAcentral.